Molecule: ribosomal RNA, 479 nt
Filed under: uncultured bacterium
Lineage: Bacteria
Description: partial 16S ribosomal RNA
Rfam family: Bacterial small subunit ribosomal RNA
Source: RNAcentral
GACGAACGCUGGCGGCGUGCUUAACACAUGCAAGUCGAACGGUAAGGCCCUUCGGGGUACACGAGUGGCGAACGGGUGAGUAACACGUGGGUGAUCUGCCCUGCACUUCGGGAUAAGCCUGGGAAACUGGGUCUAAUACCGGAUAGGACCCUGGGAUGCAUGUCCUGGGGUGGAAAGCUUUUGCGGUGUGGGAUGGGCCCGCGGCGCUAUCAGCUUGUUGGUGGGGUGAUGGCCUACCAAGGCGACGACGGGUAGCCGGCCUGAGAGGGGGACCGGCCACACUGGGGCGGAGAUGCGGCCCAGACCCCGACGGGAGGCAGCAGGGGGGAAUAUUGCACAAUGGGCGCAAGCCUGAGGCAGCGCCGCCGCGGGGGGGAUGCCGGCAUUGGGGUUGUAACCCUCUUUCAGCACCGACGAAGCGCAAGUGACGGUAGGUGAAGAAGAAGGACCGGCCAACUACGUGCCAGCCGCCGCCGUAA